GGGGACGUAGUAUACUGGUAUUACAGUCGGCUCCAGACCGACGAAAUGGGGUUCGAUUCCCCACGUCCCCA
This 71-nucleotide transfer RNA is filed under the name Candidatus Woesearchaeota archaeon. RNAcentral describes it as "tRNA-Trp". It matches the Rfam family "tRNA". From Rfam's summary of the family: Transfer RNA (tRNA) molecules are approximately 80 nucleotides in length. Their secondary structure includes four short double-helical elements and three loops (D, anti-codon, and T loops). Lineage: Archaea; Nanobdellati; Candidatus Woesearchaeota. The record is from RNAcentral. RNAcentral also lists the same sequence under 1 other name.